CCACUCCUGUUCAUAUGUCCCGGCGAGACGUCACGGGCUGAGCGUGCGUGUCUGUGUCUGCAGAGGAUGGCUCAGUGCUCAGGUGCAGGCGCCAGGCGUAGGGAGCCAGCUGAGGAGGCAGGACCGCUUUCUUUACCCACAAGGCAGAGCUCUCUGCUGGACUGAGGGCUGGAGCUUGAGCGCCUUCUUGAACCUCCAACCACAGGACUAUUGAGCUGCUCCAUUGAGCUGCUUCAUUAGAAUAACGGCACCUUUUCUCGACUGUGGAUCAUAUGAAUAGACAGUUUUGUAUUUGCUGUAAUUGGUUGCGUGUUUUUGCACUUUGAAUGUUGACCAGUUGCCUUCUCAAACGUGGACCCUGAGGACUAUGUGCCGUCUCCAUCCUGCCAAUCAACUGGACCUUUGCAUUCGCUCGCUGUGGAUAACUGCUGAGGAAGCUAUGGCACAAAGGAAGUAGUGGACCCUCAGAGAGAGGAGACGAUCCCCAGACGAUCUAUCGUCACUCCUGUCUGACAAAGGAGAGGAGGAAUAAACAUUAAAAAGACCGUAAGGAGCUGGAAGAGGCUAAAGAGGAGGCUGUGGGUCCACGCCGCAUCCCCUCCAUCCACCCCACCUGUGAGGAUUUAAUCAGCCCGGAGCAGCAUGGCGCAUGCCGCCUCGCAGCUGAAGAAGAAGGCGGACGAGAACCUCGCUGCAGAGGAGGAGAAGGAGCGGGAGAAGGAGAAGAAGAGGGCGAGGAAGCGUUCGCGCGAGGUCAAGAAAAAGACCGACGUCAACGCCUGUUACCUGCGAGCAGCUCGGGCCGGGAACCUAGAGAAAGCCUUGGACUACCUGAAGAAUGGGGUGGACAUCAACAUCUGCAAUCAGAACGGCCUGAAUGCGCUCCAUCUGGCCUCCAAGGAGGGCCACGUGGAGGUGGUGGCUGAGCUCAUCAAGCAGGGCGCCAACGUGGACGCAGCCACCAAGCAGAAAGGAAACACGGCCCUGCACAUAGCGUCGCUCGCCGGUCAGACAGACGUGGUGAAGGAGCUCGUCACACACGGCGCCAACGUCAAUGCCCAGUCUCAGAAUGGCUUCACUCCUCUGUACAUGGCGGCGCAGGAGAACCACCUGGAGGUGGUGCAGUUCCUACUGGACCACGGGUCGAGUCAGAGCAUCGCCACGGAGGACGGCUUCACCCCGCUGGCGGUGGCGCUGCAGCAGGGCCACGACCAGGUGGUUUCGCUGCUGCUGGAGAACGACACCAAGGGGAAGGUGCGUCUGCCGGCGCUGCACAUCGCCGCCCGCAAAGACGACACCAAGGCGGCCGCCCUGCUGCUGCAGAGCGACCACAACGCUGACGUGGAGUCCAAGAUGAUGGUGAAUAGAACAACAGAGAGCGGCUUCACUCCCCUCCACAUCGCGUCUCACUACGGGAACAUCAACGUGGCGACGCUGCUGCUCAACAGAGGAGCAGCCGUGGACUUCAAAGCCAGGAACGACAUCACACCAUUGCACGUAGCAUCCAAGCGCGGGAACAGUAACAUGGUGCGGCUGCUGGUGGAGAGAGGAGCCAAGAUCGACGCGCGGACCAAGGACGGCCUCACGCCGCUCCACUGUGGAGCCCGGAGUGGCCACGAGCAGGUGGUGGAGAUGCUGCUGGACCGAGGAGCUCCCAUCCUGUCCAAGACCAAGAACGGCCUGUCGCCGCUGCACAUGGCCACGCAGGGAGACCACCUGAACUGCGUGCAGCUGCUGCUGCACCACGAGGUGCCCGUGGACGACGUGACCAACGACUACCUGACGGCGCUGCACGUGGCCGCCCACUGCGGACACUACAAGGUGGCGAAGGUCAUAGUGGACAAGAAGGCCAACCCCAACGCCAAGGCGCUGAAUGGUUUCACUCCGCUGCACAUCGCCUGUAAGAAGAACAGAGUCAAGGUGAUGGAGCUGCUUCUGAAGCACGGGGCGUCCAUUCAGGCGGUGACCGAGUCUGGCCUGACUCCGAUCCAUGUCGCAGCCUUCAUGGGACAUGAAAACAUCGUGCACCAGCUCAUCAACCACGGGGCGUCACCAAACACCAGCAACGUGAGGGGGGAGACGGCGCUCCACAUGGCAGCGAGGGCGGGACAGUCCAACGUGGUCCGGUACCUGGUCCAGAACGGAGCUCGGGUUGAUGCCAAGGCCAAGGACGACCAGACUCCGCUGCACAUCUCCAGCCGUCUGGGCAAGCAGGACAUUGUCCAGCAGCUGUUGGCCAGCGGGGCGGACCCCGACGCCGUGACCAGCACCGGCUACACCCCUCUGCACCUGGCGGCCCGGGAGGGCCACCGAGACGUGGCUGCGGCGCUGCUCGACCAGGGCGCUCAUCUGGGCAUCACCACCAAGAAGGGCUUCACUCCUCUGCACGUGGCAGCCAAGUACGGGAAGAUGGAGGUGGCCAACCUGCUGCUGCAGAAGAACGCUGCCCCGGACGCGUCUGGGAAGAGUGGGCUAACUCCACUGCAUGUGGCAGCUCACUACGACAACCAGAAGGUGGCGCUGCUCCUGCUCAACCAGGGAGCCUCUCCUCACGCUGCUGCGAAGAACGGCUACACGCCGCUGCACAUCGCAGCCAAGAAGAACCAGAUGGAGAUCACCACCACGCUGCUGGAGUACGGAGCCUCCACCAACGCGGUGACGCGGCAGGGCAUCACGCCGCUGCACCUCGCGGCCCAGGAGGGCAACGUGGACGUGGUGACGCUGCUGCUGGCGCGAGACGCCCCCAUCAACCCAGGCAACAAGUCUGGUCUGACUCCGCUGCACCUGGCUGCCCAGGAGGAUAAAGUAAACGUCGCUGAGGUUUUAGUGAACCAGGGAGCUACCGUGGACCCCGAGACCAAGCUGGGAUACACGCCCCUCCACGUGGCCUGUCACUAUGGCAACAUCAAGAUGGUCAACUUCCUGCUGAAAAACCAGGCGAAGGUCAACGUCAAGACCAAGAACGGCUACACACCCCUCCAUCAGGCUGCACAGCAGGGACACACACACAUCAUCAACCUGCUGCUACAUCAUGGAGCGUCGCCAAACGAACUCACGGCUAACGGCAACAGCGCCCUGUCCAUCGCCAGGAGGCUCGGCUACAUCUCUGUAGUGGACACGCUCAAGGUGGUCACGGAGGAAACUCUGAUAACGCAGACUGUGACCGAGAAGCACAGGAUGAACGUUCCUGAGACCAUGAACGAGGUGCUGGACAUGUCCGACGACGAAGUCUUUAAAGCCAAUGUCCCAGAAAUGAUCACAGAGGACUAUUUAUCUGAUGUGGACGAAGGUGAUGACGCGAUGACGGGGGACACGGACAAGUAUCUGGCCCCCCAGGACCUGCGGGAGCUGGGGGACGACUCGCUCCCUCAGGAGGGCUACAUGGGCUUCAGCGUCGGCGCCAGAUCACAGAGCCUGCGUUCCUUCAGUUCUGAUAGGUCCAACACGCUGAACCGGAGCUCGUUCACGCGGGACAGCAUGAUGAUCGAGGAGAUUCUAGCGCCAAAUAAGGAAAUGCAUCUCAACGUGGCCAAGGACUUUGACAGCGACUCUCUGCGGAGGUACAGCUGGAACGCCGACGCCCUGGAUAACGUCAACCUGGUCUCCUCACCGAUACACUCUGGGUUCCUGGUCAGCUUCAUGGUGGAUGCCAGGGGCGGCUCCAUGAGGGGGAGUCGCCACAACGGCAUGCGCAUCAUCAUCCCGCCCAGGAAGUGCACGGCACCCACCAGGAUCACCUGUCGACUGGCCAAGAGGCACAAGCUGGCGUCGCCUCCUCCGAUGGUGGAGGGAGAAGGCCUGGCGAGUCGGCUGGUUGAGGUUGGUCCAGCAGGAGCUCAGUUCCUCGGGCCUGUAAUAGUGGAGAUUCCCCACUUUGGCUCCAUGCGGGGCCAGGAGCGAGAGCUGAUCCUACUGCGCAGUGAAAAUGGAGAAACGUGGAAGGAGCAUCUUUACGACUGUAAGACUGAUGAUCUGAAUCAGCUCCUGAAUGGGAUGGAUGAAGAACUAGACACUCCUGAGGAGUUGGAGAGGAAAAGGAUCUGUCGCAUCGUCACAAAGGACUUCCCACAGUACUUUGCUGUAGUAUCUCGCAUCAGACAGGAGACCAAUCAUAUGGGCCCGGAAGGAGGGACUCUGUACAGCCAGAGCGUGCCAUUGGUUCAGGCCUCUUUCCCCGAGGGGGCAUUAACAAAGAAGAUCAAAGUUGGACUACAGGCCCAGCCUGUGCCCGAUGAGACUGUAAAGAAAAUCCUUGGUAACCGGGCAACCUUCAGCCCUAUUGUUACCGUGGAACCCAGGAGGCGGAAGUUCCACAAGCCUAUUACCAUGACGAUCCCAGUCCCACCCCUCUCAGGGGAGGGGCUUACCAAUGGCUACAAAGGAGACUGUACUCCAUGCCUCCGCCUUCUCUGCAGCAUCACAGGUGGGACAUCCCCAGCACAGUGGGAGGACAUCACAGGCACAACCCCUCUUACUUUUGUCAACGACUGUGUCUCCUUCACCACCAACGUUUCUGCCAGGUUCUGGUUAGCAGACUGCCACCAGAUACCAGAGACUGUUGGUCUGGCCACGCAGCUGUACAGGGAGCUGAUCUGCGUACCCUACAUGGCUAAGUUUGUGGUGUUUGCAAAGAUGAACGAUCCGGUGGAGUCCAGUCUGAGGUGCUUCUGUAUGACAGAUGACAAGGUGGAUAAGACCUUGGAGCAGCAGGAGAACUUUGAGGAGGUGGCAAGGAGCAAAGACAUAGAGGUUCUGGAGGGCAGGCCCAUUUUUUUGGAUUGUUAUGGGAACCUGACUCCUCUUACUAAAGCUGGUCAGCAGUUAGUUCUUAACUUCUACGCCUUCAAGGAGAACCGCUUGCCCUUCUGUGUCAAGGUCAGAGAUCCCAGCCAGGAGCCUUGUGGUCGCCUCACUUUCCUCAAAGAGUCUAAAACCACUAAAGGCCUUCCGCAAACUGCCGUGUGCAACCUGAACAUCACACUUCCCGCAGUGAAGAAGGAAAUGGAGUCAGAUGCCGAGGAUGAGACUGAAAAGCCAGAGCGACGUCAUACCUUUGCAUCCCUAGCCUUACGUAAGCGCUACAGCUAUCUGGCCGAGCCUGCACCGAAAACAGCAGUUGAACGAAGCGCAACAACAAGAACACUGCCUGCUGGUUACCCUCACAAACCUGUCUUUCCAACCAGACCUUACCCACCAUGGUCGACUGCUCCUAUUACCGUCCCUGGCCAAACAAGGCCUGUCAGAGUGGGGGGUUCCCUCACAAGUACCGAUUCAUCGGCCGGCAUCACAGCUCCUUCUCCAAUGAAAUCUACCUGGCCCCUGCCCUCCCCAUCACCUGCAUGUCCUGCAACUAUCAAAGCCACCCAGGGAGCACCAGCACUGUCAUCCCCAGUUAAAUCAGUCAGCAACAUAGUGUCCUCAUCCCCCAUCAGGUCUCAUAGGAUGCCUUCACCUAUUAAAACGGUGGUCCAUCAGGGUCAACACCAGGGGUCUGCCAGCCUAGUAUCCUCUGGUAGCCCAUGCAAACCUGCCACAGAUCCAGCAUCUAUAAAAAGUCUUGCUUCACCAUACAUAUCAAGGACUUCCCCACUUCACUCUGUACCAAAUGGUUCUGUGCCAGAGAGGACAUCAACUUCUGUUACUGCUCCAGCAUCACCAAAGGCACCUUACAACAUGUACAAUGCUAAUCUGCCUUUCAAAACAUCACUUGGCUUCACGCUUGGGACUGAGUCAGGGUCACCUAAUCUUUCUUCUGUCAAAAGCCUAUCCAGCCUUUCUUCUAUAAAGACCUCCAUAGAUUCAACACUCUCAUCUCGAGGAGGGAGAUCGUCCCUCUCUUCUCUUUCCUCCACAGGGCAGACAACAAUUGCCUCUUCAGAGCUGUCAAUGAUGAACGGAUCCAUCUCUCCUGUUAAAUAUCCAUCCUCCUCUUCCACACCAUCCUCUCCUUCUUCCCGCCUUCUCUCAGAAAGAAGUAGCAGUCUUCAAGAGAGAAUCCAGGCCACCACUCAGGCAGCAACCUCUGGUGUCAGUGCGGCCAUUAAUGAAGCUAUAGACUCAUACUCUGUCUCAGGGUAUGGCACUCUAAAGUCACUGUCCUCCUCACGCAGAUCUGCAACAACUAGCUCUGCUUACGGUUCUCUAAGAUCUGUAGUUGCCCCUUCCAGUUCAACAGUUUCAUCUAAUACGAUGACUGUACCAGUGUAUUCAUUGGUCAAUGUAAUCCCAGACACUCCUAUCAAACCAGGACCCGGGUCUCUCAAAAUGGCCUUGCCUGAUUCCCCUCGUGCCUCAACCUCAUUGUCUUCUUCUUUGUCUUCCUGUGUUACUGCAUCAAAAAUUAACUCCCAGAUGAAAUCCCCCCCAUUUAUCACACCACCCAUCAUCCGCGCAAGUGCAGCUUCCAAUCAGGAGAUUCUCAAAGAUGUAGCAGAGAUGAAAGAGGAUCUGAUCAGAAUGACCGCUAUCCUACAAACAGAUACACAGACAGCAGCUAAAACUGUCCAAACAUCACUUACUGGAACUCCUAAAGAGUCUAAAUUAGAUGAUGAGGAACCAUUUAGUCUAGUGGAGAAAGUGAAAGAAGAUUUAGUUAAAGUCAGUAAGAUUUUACAAAAAGAUCUCACAAGUGAAAAGAAGGCCGUUGCAGCUAAGGAGGACACCUCAGAGGAGGACUGGGAGGAAUUUUCCAAAGAUGAGAUUGAGGAGGCUCAAAGAAAUACCCUCUCAGACAGUUAUCCUACUUUUGAUGAAAACGCACUUCUUCUCAAACACCACUCUAUGUCAAGCAAAGACUUAGAGUUGGCCAAAGUAGUGGAUUUUUUAACAAAUGACAUUGGCGCUAACUCCCUUUCCAAGUUGGCAGAGAUGAAAUGUAGAUAUGAGGAAGAGGUCAAAUGGGAAGGUGAAGAGAAACAGAAACGUGUUCUGAAACCAUCUAUGUCAAUACAGGAAAACAAACUGAAAAUGCCUCCACCUGUCUCUGGCAUGCUCAGAUCCCCUUCAGAAAAAGAUCUAAGCAAACUUGUGGAGUCAUAUCAGGGGCCAGACACUAUUCUGGAAUCUCCUGAGGACCUGUCUCAUGAGCAGGAUAAGAGUCCCCUGUCAGACAGUGGGUUUGAGACGAGGAGUGAAAAGACACCUUCUGCUCCUCAGAGUGCAGAGAGUACCGGACCCAAACCUCUAUUUACAGAUUCACCCAUCCCUCCAUGUGUAAGUACAACCAGAACUGAAGUAGUCCACUUUAGAAGCUAUGAGCAGCCAGAUGAGCCUUGUGAGCCUCUACUCAUGGAGGAAGCUGCAUCUGCUUUUCCUUCUCUAGAGCCAGACACCGCUUCAACAAGUUCUUCCCAAGCUUUACAGUUGAAAAUGCCAGAAGAAGACAUGAUGAACAAAAGUCUUUGUCUUAAAGAGGAAACCCAUAUUACCACUACUACUAGAAUGGUCUACCACAAGCCCCAGCUGACUGAUGGUGCAGAGAUGCUAGAAGAUGCUAUGUCAGUCAGAGAUAUCAUGAAAGCUUUCCAGUCAGGUAGGGACCCUUCUAAAGAAUUUGCAGGUCUUUUUGAACACAAAGCUAGCCAGGAUUCUAUAAAAGGUGAUGAGCUAACCCCCAGAUUUCUAGACAGAGAUACUAAAUCCAAACCUAAAGUUGAAAGAAUAAUUGAGGUUCACAUAGAAAAGGGGCAUAGCACAGCAGAGCCAACUGAGGUUAUUAUCAGGGAAAGUAAAAAACACCCUGACCUUUAUGUCUACAAAGGUGAUCGUGGAUUUAAAGAACUUACAGAAUAUGAUGAGGCCCAACAGGAAGAAGAGGAGCUUCUUACUGCUGAAGAAUCCCUUCCCUCCUAUUUGGAAACAUCUCGAGUUAACACACCAGUGUCACAGGAGGAAGACAGUCGCCCAAGCUCUGCUCAGCUGAUAGCUGAUGAUUCAUAUAAAGCGUUGAAACUACUAAGCCAGCACUCUAUAGAAUACUGUGAUGAUGAACUUUCCGAGAUCAGAGGCGAGUCAUACAGAUUUGCUGAGAAAAUGCUCUUGUCAGAAAAACUUGAUACAUCACCAGUGUCUCACUCUGACACAGAGAAAGUGGUUUCGGAAGAGACCUUUAGUCAACAGCAAAGUAGCCCAAAAAGAGAAUUUGUUUCUAAGUCAUCGAAAGAUGGGUCUCCUAAAUCUAGUAAAUUCUUGCACAGGGAUGAACCAUCUCAGUUUGAUAAGGUAACUGUUCUCCAUUACUCCACAGAACAGGGUAGCCCCAAGCAUGCAGUUUGGAUGCGUUUCACAGAGGACAAGCAUGACAGGGGCAGGGAUAAGCUCCUUUAUGAGGAUAGAGUGGACCAAACUGUAAAAGAAGCUGAAGAAAAACUCAGUGAGGUAUCACAGUUCUUCCGUGACAAAACAGAAAAGCUCAACGAUGAGCUCCAGUCCCCCGAGAAAAAACCUGUAAGACGAGAGUCAAAGGAACCCAGAUCAUGGCCUAGCUCAGCCUGCAGCUCCCCCGAGAAGACACAGCAAAAGUCUAAGGCAGGAGAAGAGAGACUCAAUAAAAGCAAACUUAGAGAACCUUCAGUUGGUAAAAUGUUUGGCAGCACAACAACGACUGAAAGGAAAACUUCUAGCUUACCAAGCACUCCCCAGAAAAGCAUAAGCUCUGAAAUCAGCAAUGCUAAAAUUAAACAACAAGCUAAGAGCAGUGAAUCAGAACCCUCUUCUCCGGCCCAUGUAAAAUCAACAUCAAAAGUCAGUGCCGUGAGAAUGAAGUUUGAAUCUGAGGCUCGGAAGCAAGCUCAGUCUAGUCCAACCAAAAUUCCACCUCCAGUGCAGCCAAAACCUUCAAUAAAGAAAUUACAGGAAAGCAAACUUCCAGUUUAUCAGUUUCUUGAUGGAAAAACAUCAAAAGUAUCUGAAACAUUGAAAGAGGAGUGCCCAAAAAAGGACACUGAGGUUGAAUGUAGUGCCACAGAUGGCACCAAAAAUAGUUUACGAACAUCGAAAGUCCCAAAACCUACAGGAGGCAGGCUGCCAAAUGUAACUGUCCCAGAGACCUUGUUGCAAAGACAGACUAGUGAAACUGACAAAGCAGCUAAUAAAGGGAUAGAUUUGCAUUCAGUGGAAGAAAUUAUUAAAGGUCAGAAAGAUCAUGACACUACAACACUAUUAGAGAAGGACAAGGAAGCUAAAAAUUCCCAACAAGUUACAAAAAGUGAAUUGGCUUCCAAAGAAGUAUUAGCUGAAGUAUCUAAAAAAGACAGCGAAGAUCCACCUAACAAAAACCUCAGAAAAAAGACAGAAUCUCAAAUUCCCGUAAGAACAUUGUCUUCUACAUUAGAUAAUGAUCUCACAAAGAAACUUGCAAUAACAAAACCCUCACACAUACCUACAUUAUCUAAAAGCAAGUUGCAAACUAGUAUUGAGACAAUCAAAACUAAAACUGAUGAAACUCUAUCUUUUGAAAUUUUAGAUAACGCACCCAAAGACUCAAACUUCAAUCUUACGAGCCCAAUAGAAAUUUUGGAAAAGGUCAUAACCUCACCCACUGCAGUAACAACCAAAGAGAACUUCAAGGGCAUCAAAACGUUGCCUGUUUACGUUGGUGUCCAGGUGGGCAGACAGGCAGAGAGGGAAGCCAAAGGAGCACUGUAUGCCGUCAAACAGAAAUCUAACUCAGCCCUCAGCCCCAUUAGCCCUGAUGAUGACACACUAGAACAGGUUUCUUUCAUCGACAGCUCAGGGAAAAGUCCAAUUACACCAGAGACCCCUAGCUCUGAAGAGGUAAGCUAUGACCUCACGUCCAGGACCCCGGACCCCUUUUUGGGAUUCCUGCCAGGGCAACCCAGUCCCAUUAUGGAGGUAUCUGAGGAUUCAGAGGAAGACCAAGGCAAAAUUUUGACUUUAAAAGAGUCCCUUUCAGAAAAUAGUAAUGUUCACACCACCCGGGCAGACUUUGCUAACGCUAAUAACCAAGAAUCUGUGACAAAUGAUAAUCAGCAGGAAGUAACAAAUACUUUCAGCCACCACGAAUCAACAGCAAAUGACAGACUUGAUCAAAUAACAAGACAGGAGCCGCAGGAAACCUCAAAGGACAAAGGUAUUGCAUAUAUUGAAUUCCCUCCUCCUCCACCUCUAGAUUCAUCUUCUGAAAUUUCCGACCCAGAGAGAAAAGGUUCUUGUGCCUCCUCAGAGACUGAAACAGAAAUGAUGGAAGUGAACUUACAGGAAGAACACGACAAGCAUUUGCUAAUUGAGCCAAUCAUACGCAUCCAACCUCCUUCCCCAGUGCUCCCUGGAACUGAUGAUAGCCAGUCAAAUCCUGAUGAGGCAGAAGAGGAGGAGGAAUCAAUUUUCCAACCAAUUCCAUGUAAGAAAUUUACUUUUAAUUCUCCGGAAGAAGACGAGAAAAAAAAGGAGAAGGAAAAAGUAUCUAAAUCCAAAAAGCAUGAUAAAAAUGGAAACAACAAAGAACCUCACGGUGUGACCAAUGGCUCAAAUGGUUCCAACGGUUCUAAAGGUUCCAAUGGAAAAGGAGAGGACUAUGAGUAUGAACAAAAUGGAAAUGAUCAGUCCAUAACGGACUGUUCAAUAGCCACAACAGCUGAAUUUUCUCAUGACACAGAUGCCACAGAGAUAGACUCUUUAGAUGGAUAUGAACUCCAGGAUGAGGACGAUGGCCUGUGUGAACAGGCAGAUUUACGAUUGUUUGGUCUCUCGGAUAGCCGGAGGGACGUCUGGGCAACAGACACUUUUAGGUCCAAUGACCGCUCAUUUCCCCAGACCAAACUGGAAGUCAUUGAGGAGGAGAAAGCCCCAGAGGAAUGUCAAAAGGAAACCUGCAAAAAGGACACCACCACAAAUGGUGAAAAACCUGAUGUUAAAAGUCAGGAACAAAAACCUUCAGAUAAAGAGGGAUUUUCAGACACUUACUUUAGUUAUAAGUUAGAAGAGGAGUUUAACUCACCUUUUAAGACUGUUGCUACUAAAGGGCUGGAGUUUGACCCGUGGCCCAGCAAAGUUGGAGAAGAAGACGUCAUUGACGUGGGGGGGGCCCAGGGAUGCAACGGUGAGCCUAAACCCUUUGGACUGGCAGUCGAUGACCAGUCUCAGGCCACAACGCCUGACACUACUCCAGCCAGAACACCGACAGACGAUAGCACGCCAACGAGCGAGCCAAACCCAUUUCCCUUCCAUGAAGGGAAGAUGUUUGAGAUGACACGGAGUGGUGCGAUUGACAUGAGCAAGAGGGACAUGGUGGAGGAGAGGCUCCAGUUUUUUCAGAUUGGUGAGCAUUACUACUCUGCUGGCAGAUACAGGGUCAGAGAUUCAGAAGUAGAUGCCUCCUCACAACACACGGAUGAGUUUAUUAGUCAGGAUUCCUCAGAAACCUUAACGGUCCCUCAAGUCUCCAUACAGACUACCACCUUCCAACUUGAAAUACCAAAUCCAACUGGCAGUUGCAGCACAUCCAGGGACUCAACUUUAAAUAAUGAGCCAAAAUUCUCCACAUUUAGGUCAGGGUUCAGCUUGUCAUCUGAUAAAACCUUGUCAAAAAGCAGUAAUAACUGUAUCAUUGAUUGUUCUAAUGAUGUAGACUCAGGGAUAACAGUAGAUAGUUCUUGUUCUGUAACCUCAAACUAUAUAAAUUAUUAUAAUUUCAUUACAUCAGAAAUGACAGAUAAAUGUUUGAAUAAUAUAUCAACAGGCAUUUUAGAUGAUAACAGGCUUUCUUUAAGUGCAGCUGAACUGAGAGACUAUUUGUAUUUGACUUCAGAAAGUAAGGGAACUUCUAACCAAAGCACUGAUUAUUAUUAUGCACCUACAGAAAAGAAUAGCAAUUAUAAUGUAGCAAUAACAAACACAGGAGCCAUAAAGGUCAAGGGACAGAUAUGCAGGUCCAGGUUACCAGUGAACAUGUCCCGACCCAAACUAUGCAAACAAAGUCCCCCCAUAGCAAACAACAAGGCACAAGAAAACAGCAAUAGAUGCAGCACAUAUUCAGUUCAUGUAGUCAAAAAAAGAUUGGACCCUUUUGAGCAUGUGCUUCCUAAAUCUAGAAUUCCAAUCUUGACAUUUUUUCAGUAUCCAUCUCCUUCCCAGGAUCAGAAGCAGGUUAGAAAAAAAUGUGUGGUUAGUGAUGGAUGCAAGCAACAGCAAAGUAAAGGUAGAUCCAGCAAUGAACAAAAACAGGGUUCAAUGAAAACCCUAAGUAGAAAUAGAACAAAUGUGACACAUAGGAAGACCAGACCUAUAAGCAGCCAGGUAGUCAAGCCCAUGGACCGAACCCAGCCCGAGGAGGCUGAUAACGAGUCAGAGAGAAAGGGACUGCUCACUGAGGAUGGAGGGAGCCGCAGCACCAACACUACCAGAAACACUUCCUUGUCAGAGCCACCCAAAGCCUCUAGACCUUCCUGCCCUUCCCGCACCUCUACCUCCACCAGCACCAGCACCACCACAUCAACACCGUCCUCUAGAGGCUUCAGAGGUGAGGUUGAACAGGCCAGCAGUGAGAGGAUGAGGAGGAGCAGGAGGAAGAGUAGGCGAACACUUGGAGGGAAGGAGCAAAAGGAGAAGAAGGAAGGGAGUCAGGUUGAUCAACCAAUCACGGCUCCGGUCACAGAGACUAGCCCUCAGAGUCCCUGUGAGAGGACGGACCUCCGCAUCGCAAUAGUGGCUGACCACCUUGGACUCAGUUGGACUGAGCUGGCCAGGGAGCUGGAUUUCUCUGUGGAAGAGAUCAACUUCAUCAGAGUGGAGAACCCCAAUUCACUGACAGCACAGAGCUUCAUGUUCCUAAAGAAAUGGGUGCACAGGGAUGGUAAAAAUGCCACAACGGAUGCUUUAACUGCGGUGCUGACUAAGAUCAAUCGCUUGGAUAUUGUGACUUUGCUGGAAGGGCCCAUAUUUGACUACGGUAACAUUUCAGGCACACGCUGCUUUGCCGAUGAUAACGCAGUAUUCCCGGAUCAGUCCGAUGGAUACGACAAUAUAGAACUGGAGCUGCAGACCCCCACGGGCCUGACCUACGUGCCCCCUACCCCACUGCGUUCAGAUGACUUCUUUAGCGAGGGAGAUGCUAGCAUAGGCUCCCCUAAGGCCGCGCUUGCUAGACCUAGCGACCUCUCGCUCACUCAGACCACCAGUACCUCCAGCAGUGACCCCCUCACGGUGGCCCCAGGCCCCGGCUCCUCCACCCUAGCGCCCACCCUAGCUGGAGCUGAAGAUACGACCUUGGUUUCCUAUGCGGGGCCAGAUAACGACAGGAGGGCAGUAGAGAAAUCUGGAAAGGAGGCUAAAGAACUGAAGGCAGGGCAAGAGGCUGUUUUGCAGAAAAUCCAAAGGGAAGACGAAGCCUUAGACGUCAGUCGCGGAAAUGGAAAGGAGGAGGAGGAGGAGGAUGAGAUGACCCAGGAGAGGCUGCAGAGUCUGCUGGACGAUCUAAAGCUGGAGGGAGGCUUGGAGGACGAGGAGAUGACGGAGGAGAGGGUGAACGCCAUCCUCGAACAAGUACGGCAAGCAGAAAAAGUCGUGUGUUCGCUUCCAGGGUGGAGGAGUGACACAUCGGGCGCGAUCGGAGGGUCUCCAGUCCCCGGCCACGAGCCUGGCGCCGAGGAGGGCAGCCCCGACAGUCUAGCUGAUUCACUGGAGCAGCAGAAUGGAGGUCAGACGGAUGCCGCCAGGGAAGGAAAGGAAAAGGAGGCGAAGAGGAAGGGGUCUCAGGAGGACAGCAGCACAGCGGGGCCGAGCAAAGAACGGGAGCAGGGAGGCGACAGGUCCCAGCACAAAGUCCAGGGAGAGGAGGCCAAAAACAUUCCCGGAGAGUCUGUUACUGAGGAGCAGUUUACAGAUGAAGACGGGAAUCUGGUCACCAGAAAAGUGAUCAGAAAGGUGGUGCGCCGUGUGGUGAACUCGGACGAAAGGAGAGAAAGUGAAGGCGAAUCUGUUGCGGGAGCUGCGUCUCCGGCGAAGGCGGCAGCGGGGGGGAAGGGCAAGAGGAGGGGGAAGCGCAGCCGGCAGGGCCCCAAGGCCGAGAGGCCCCGAGAGGAGGCCCAGGGAGAGAGAGCCGAGCCUGGAGACGGUGCCAACAAGAGACAAGGGAAGAAGAGUCAGUCAUAACAGCACCGCUCUUCACUACACCUGCCAGCAGAAGAACAGCUUAUUAGGGGAAAACGCACCUGAAUCCGAACUUAAACCUCCUGCAGUGAUACUAAUCUGGCAGCAUCCCCUUACCUCAUUUUCAGGGGCCAGGGUUGUGUACCCACAGACGCUCAUCUGUGACACCACACCAAACCUGGGAGGAAGAGGAAAAACAUCUGGAGGCCACACUCGACCAGCCUACACGCGUCCGACGCUUCUACUCGCAGCGCAUGGUUUGCAGCGAGGCGAUGACAAGCAAGGUUUCUUUCUUUUGAUUUCGCAUGAGCAUGUCACCAAACCCACCAGGAACGACGAGCCGGGGACACGCGUGGAGGCGAGCUGGAGCUUCCUGAUCUUUGGACGAGACCAAAGACUCACGAUGGCUUGUGAAUCACUUUCUCUCAGACACUCGCCUUAUACGGUCUAUCUUUCUCCUUCUGGACACACAGUAUUGAGGUGUACCGUGUGGCUCUUUAUUAAUUUUUUUAAAGAAAUAUAAUAAUAAAAGGGUGAUUUUGUUGUAUAUAAAUGAAAUAUAAAUGGAAAUCAGCAGCUUCACAGAUUGUUUAUGCACUGAUUUGACUUGAUGAAGCCUUGCAGAGUCGGUGCAUUUGCUCUUGAGAGGUCAACACUGUUUGCGCAGCCUUGGGUGUUUGACCUGACGUGCUCUUCCUACAUGAAUAUAAAACAGAACAAAAAAUGAAAAGCUGUAUGUAAAUGAGAAUCGAAUGAGAGGAGAAACUGCUUGAUUUGAAACGAAUGGACAUUUCUUUAGCGCAAACAUCUACUACCGCUCCGUCUGUGGAACACUGUCUUCAGAAAUUAUAUUUUGCUGCAUGUGACGUCUCUUUUAACGCUUUCUUUUACUUUCCUCCUAAUUCAAAACACUGCAAUACGAUUAGCGGGGGUUUAAUGGUACUUCUGCCUGUGUGAACACUCGUCAUAGCCUACACGUGCCGUUUAUGACUCUUUCUGAUCUUAACAAAUGAAAACACUCCACGCUGGAGCAGUGGGACUACAAAGCCUCGUUUCUUCGCUUUGUGGACGGUACCGACGGUGUCCCAGGAUGUCACCUGAAGGCGAGACAUUACCUCCCAACAGCUAAAGCCAAUAGGAAACUGUGUCUGUCUGACUGUACGCGCAUCAUGCAUACUGGAGGUUUAGGUUUAGCCUUGUGGGUCUGCUGUGGUUUUAACAAGGGGGCAGUUUUUAUUGAUGCUUUGAGGAAUUUUAGUUAUAUUUUCAUGAGAACAGAGGAUCUCACUUUUAGCCCAGUUAGUUAAACCUUUCUACCAACAGCAUAAACUCACAACAAUUAAUCACAACGUUUGAUCACUAGUAAAAAAAUCUGAUUUUCUGUUCCUGUGUUUUGGUUUUUCUAUGUUUUGCUUUUUUUCAUACAAACACCACAAGCACCUAUUGCUGAUGAUAAAUCUGGUACCGACAUGUAUGACGAACCACCAUAGCCUACACUGGAUGAUCCUAGUAAUUAUUUAAGCAGAAAAAUAAAUUGUGUUUAAACUGAAA
This is an RNA transcript of Betta splendens (Siamese fighting fish), 15657 nucleotides long. It is a transcript of the gene named ankyrin-3-like, with no coding region annotated. Lineage: Eukaryota; Metazoa; Chordata; Actinopteri; Anabantiformes; Osphronemidae. The transcript is spliced from 48 exons. The record is from RefSeq and is a predicted model, not a curated record.